RNAcentral lists this long non-coding RNA (199 nucleotides) under Elaeis guineensis (African oil palm). Its description in RNAcentral is "long non-coding RNA (EGUI_LNC025925)". Lineage: Eukaryota; Viridiplantae; Streptophyta; Magnoliopsida; Arecales; Arecaceae. The record is from RNAcentral.
ACCAUAGAGAGGAAAUUUAGGAUAAAAAAGUUGGAUGUCAUGGUAAUUAGUCUUCGAACACUUCAUUCACUCCUAAAAGAUUCAAACUCCUCUAAAAUCCAUGUUAGUACAUCCGAAUUGGCAAUCUCUCACUAAUUAUGAUUUACACCAAUAAAAAUUCCUAUGAACCAAAAUAUAUAUAUAUAUAUUGGAGGUUGUU